GAACGCUAGCUAUAGGCUUAACACAUGCAAGUCGAGGGGCAGCGAAUAGAUAGCUUGCUAUUUAUGUCGGCGACCGGCGCACGGGUGAGUAACGCGUAUCCAACCUGCCCAUAACUAAGGGAUAACCCAGCGAAAGUUGGACUAAUACCUUAUGUAUUCGUUUGAUCUCAUGAGAUUACGAAUAAAGAUUUAUCGGUUAUGGAUGGGGAUGCGUCUGAUUAGCUUGUUGGCGGGGUAACGGCCCACCAAGGCAACGAUCAGUAGGGGUUCUGAGAGGAAGGUCCCCCACAUUGGAACUGAGACACGGUCCAAACUCCUACGGGAGGCAGCAGUGAGGAAUAUUGGUCAAUGGACGCAAGUCUGAACCAGCCAAGUAGCGUGCAGGAUGACGGCCCUAUGGGUUGUAAACUGCUUUUAUAUGGGGAUAAAGUGGGGAACGUGUUCCCUUUUGCAGGUACCAUAUGAAUAAGGACCGGCUAAUUCCGUGCCAGCCGCCGCGGUAAAAGGG
RNAcentral lists this ribosomal RNA (508 nucleotides) under uncultured Bacteroidales bacterium. RNAcentral's name for it is "bacterial SSU rRNA". It matches the Rfam family "Bacterial small subunit ribosomal RNA", at positions 31 to 528 of the family's 1533-position model. The record is from RNAcentral. Lineage: Bacteria; Pseudomonadati; Bacteroidota; Bacteroidia; Bacteroidales.